AUUGAACGCUGGCGGCAGGCCUAACACAUGCAAGUCGAACGGUAACAGAACGCUGCUUUCUGCUUUUCUGAUGAGUGGCGGACGGGUGAGUAAUGUCUGGGCAACUGCCUGAUGGAGGGGGAUAACUACUGGACACGGUAGCUAAUACCGCAUAACGUCGCAAGACCAAAGAGGGGGACCUUCGGGCCUCUUGCCAUCGGAUGUGCCCGGAUGGGAUUAGCUAGUAGGUGGGGUAAAGGCUCACCUAGGCGACCAUGCGUAGCUCGUCUGAGAGGAGGAGAAGCCACACUGGAACUGAGACACGGUCCAGACUCCUACGGGAGGCAGCAGUGGGGAAUGUGGCACAAUGGGGGCAAGCAUGAUGCAGCCAGGCCGCGUGUAUGAAGAAGGCGUUCGGGUUGUAAAGUACUUUCAGCGGGGAGGAAGGGAGUAAAGUUAAUACCUUUGCUCAUUGACGUUACCCGCAGAAGAAGCACCGGCUAACUACGUG
RNAcentral lists this ribosomal RNA (490 nucleotides) under uncultured bacterium. RNAcentral describes it as "partial 16S ribosomal RNA". It matches the Rfam family "Bacterial small subunit ribosomal RNA", at positions 30 to 507 of the family's 1533-position model. The record is from RNAcentral.